AGCUAUAUAAGGUUGAAACACCGAUUCCCGUAAGUUCAGCGAAGUUAAGUAACGUCGAGCCUGGUCAGUACCUAGAUGGGUGAGCGAUUGGGCAUAUCAGGUGCUGUA
Molecule: non-coding RNA, 108 nt
Organism: Acanthosepion pharaonis
Lineage: Eukaryota; Metazoa; Mollusca; Cephalopoda; Sepiida; Sepiidae
Source: the annotation of a GenBank genome assembly